GAACGCCUUGUGCGAUGAAAGUCGCCUGCAAGGUGUGGACUGGGGGAAAACAAGUAUUCUGAGCAAGUCAUGUUGCAGAAGAACGUUACCUAUCAGUAU
Molecule: non-coding RNA, 99 nt
Filed under: Desemzia incerta
Lineage: Bacteria; Bacillati; Bacillota; Bacilli; Lactobacillales; Carnobacteriaceae
Source: RNAcentral